GUGGGGAAUAUUGGACAAUGGGGGCAACCCUGAUCCAGCAAUGCCGCGUGAGUGAUGAAGGCCUUAGGGUUGUAAAGCUCUUUUACCGGGGACGAUGAUGACGGUACCCGGAGAAUAAGCCCCGGCUAACUUCGUGCCAGCAGCCGCGGUAAUACGAAGGGGGCGAGCGUUGUUCGGAGUUACUGGGCGUAAAGGGCGCGUAGGCGGCGGACCAAGUUAGGCGUGAAAGCCCCGGGCUCAACCUGGGAAUUGCGCUUAAGACUGGUCUGCUCGAGUGCGGGAGAGGUGAGUGGAAUUCCCAGUGUAGAGGUGAAAUUCGUAGAUAUUGGGAAGAACACCAGUGGCGAAGGCGGCUCACUGGCCCGCAACUGACGCUGAGGCGCGAAAGCGUGGGGAGCAAACAGGAUUAGAAACCCGUGUAGUCC
RNAcentral lists this ribosomal RNA (425 nucleotides) under uncultured bacterium. RNAcentral's name for it is "bacterial SSU rRNA". It matches the Rfam family "Bacterial small subunit ribosomal RNA", at positions 354 to 796 of the family's 1533-position model. The record is from RNAcentral.